GACGAACGCUGGCGGCGUGCCUAACACAUGCAAGUCGAACGGAGAGGCCCUGCUCUUGUAGGAAGUUCAAGAGCCGAACGGGUGAGUAACACGCGUGUAACCUGCCCUUGACUUCGGGAUAAAUUCAGGAAACACGGGCUAAUACCGGACAGAAGCACCUGCUGCAUGGUGGGGGUUGGAAAGAUUCGGCGGUUGGGGAUGGACUCGCGGCCUAUCAGCUUGUUGGUGGGGUGGUGGCUUAACAAGGCUCCGACGGGUAGCUGGCCUGAGAGGGUGACCGGCCACAUUGGGACUGGGAUACGACCCGGACUGCAACGGGAGGAAGCGGUGAAGGUUAUUGCACGAUGGGCGGAGGCCUGAUGCAACGUCGCCGCGUGCUGGAUGACGGCCGGCAGGUUGUAAAGCGCUUUCGCCUGUGACGAAGCGUGAGUGACGGUAAUGGGUAAAGAAGCACCGGCUAACUACGUG
This 468-nucleotide ribosomal RNA is filed under the name uncultured bacterium. RNAcentral's name for it is "partial 16S ribosomal RNA". It matches the Rfam family "Bacterial small subunit ribosomal RNA", at positions 28 to 507 of the family's 1533-position model. The record is from RNAcentral.